ACCAAAUUGAAAAAGAACUUAGAAUUUUUAUCCCCUAUAUUCAACAAAUCCUUCCACCAAAGGAUGCUCUCUUCAACUUCAGUAAGCCUUACAUACUCCUUCAUAAGAAUAGGCUCAGCUAUGUGUAUCUUUAAAUCUGAAGGAUUUGUUUGCAUCAGACAUUAAGCCUCUUCCAUUGCCUUCUUAGCUAAAUGGAAUCUUAUUAAAGUACUUCCUAUCCUAAAUCUUACCAAAGUACUUCUUAUUAAAGUAUCUCAAAACUCCUUUAACAUUUUUCAACUUGUUACACAAAACAAACAUAGGAGUGCCCGUGACCUCCUUACACCAAGCCUCAAAAAUUAGAGGGAAAAAAGAGGAUGAUCAGCUCAACAAUCAAAGAACUUGAAUGGAAUCUUUGUUUCCAACAAACUCGCCAUCUUCACUAAUAUAGGAGAGUGACCUGAGAUACCGAAGGUAAGAAAACAAGUUUCCAAACCUGUAAAAUCACAGUUCCAUUUGACAUUAAUAAGAACUUGAUCCAACUUCUUCAAGAUAGUAUUGUUACAUUGUCAAUUAGUCCAAAUGCAUCUAGAACCUGUGAAUCUAAGAUCUUCUAGACAUGCCUGAAUCACACAAUUGUUGAGGUCAUUCUGCCACCCCGACCAUGAUGUAGUGCCACCCGUUCUUCUCAUCGAGAGAUCGAAUAGCAUUAAAAUCUCCCAACAAAAUCCACAUAAUAGUCUCCCAAGCACUACAGUAAAUAAUAUCACCCCACAAAGCCUCUUGUUUAGACGAACAGGUAUCUCUAUAGAUAAGGGAAGUAUUGAAUGAAAUGUUUGAU
This 820-nucleotide long non-coding RNA is filed under the name Populus trichocarpa (black cottonwood). RNAcentral's name for it is "long non-coding RNA (PTRI_LNC004324)". Lineage: Eukaryota; Viridiplantae; Streptophyta; Magnoliopsida; Malpighiales; Salicaceae. The record is from RNAcentral.